Molecule: ribosomal RNA, 253 nt
Filed under: uncultured bacterium
Lineage: Bacteria
Description: partial 16S ribosomal RNA
Rfam family: Bacterial small subunit ribosomal RNA
Source: RNAcentral
UACGAAGGGGGCGAGCGUUGUUCGGAAUUACUGGGCGUAAAGGGCGCGUAGGCGGCCCCUUUUGUCGCGUGUGAAAGCCCCGGGCUCAACCUGGGAACGGCGCGCGAAACGGGGGGGCUUGAGUUCGGGAGAGGAGAGUGGAAUUCCCAGUGUAGAGGUGAAAUUCGUAGAUAUUGGGAAGAACACCGGUGGCGAAGGCGGCUCUCUGGACCGAGACUGACGCUGAGACGCGAAAGCGUGGGGAGCGAACAGG